UGGACAUAUUUCCCAGUAUUGCACAUCAACCCUCUGUUACAUGGAGCCCAGGAGCUGACUAAGCGGCCACCCCAGAGUCCUAGCUUGGGCCCCUGGAAUCCCAAGGCUUAGAGAUCAAGGGUUACAGAACAGCAGACUUUCACCCCACACACCCUUCCCUUCUCUUCCUUAUUCCGCACGCAAAAUACAGCACACUUACAACAACAGCUUACAUGUUCGAAAACUGUCCGCAGGAAGCUUCAACCUGACCGCCGCAAAGAGCGUCCAAGCUACACAGGCUUAACCUUACCUCUCCAGGGUCAACACAGGAGGCAGUAGUCGGAAAAGGCCACUUCUUCUAACAUCCUAAUUAUCGCCUUUGGUAAUGCUUUAUUUCUCCGACAGAGGAAAAGUAGAUUUUUCCUCUAGAAUAGGAUCCGGUGAAAUAUUACCAGGCAAAACAGUCUUGGAAGUGGGUUAGCAUUUCUGUCGGGGGCCAGGAAUACAGCACCAAGGAUAAAAGCACUUGCUGCAGAAGCUGAUAACUCCAGAACCUAAGCUAAAAGCCAGGGUGGUGGUGUGCUUCUGAAAUCCCACAAUUCCUAUGGUAAGAUGGCAGGCGGAAGGAGAAUCGGCUGGAAGCUAGACUGGAGUCUACAGCACACAGAAGAAACAAGAGAGACCCUGCCUCACGAGAAGGUAGAAGGAACUGCCUCCAGAAAUAACGUUCUCCAAGGGCACAGGCUGGAAGACAGAAAGAAAUGGGAUAAUGGUGCACCGAGCAGUCCUUGGUUUCAUGGAGCGCCACAUUACAUUCUUGUACCAGGAUGCCAUGCCAGGCCGUUGCUGGGGUGUGAUGUCACAUGACAGAAUCUGUUCUGUGCUCCAGGGAGGAGGAACAGGAAGAGGUUCACUGCCCGCCUGGCUGUCUGGUGAGUGGGCCUUGCCUGUACAAUGCAGGUGGACAUCCCAAGGAGAAAGCAUGACAUGACAGGUGACCUUAAGCUCGUCCGAUACCAGUGACCAAUUGCCACCAUCCUGUAUCCACUCCCUUGUCAUUGAUUGUCUAGCUCACAAAUGUGAAGCACCAGGGCCAGGUACAAUCUCACUCAGAGAUGGCUCCAAACAACUCAGUGACUGGAUGUCAAUGUGGGCUACCCAAGAUAAGGCCUCCAGAAGUCUGAUUUGGGCAAAGAUCCCCUUGGCUCAUGGAGGAGCUUCAUUUACCUGCAUUCCCCCCCUCCAUUCUUGUGAGAUGAUGGGAAACUCACCGUUAUCGAAGACGGUGCCUGCUGUGAACGAGAGCUCAGAGUCGUGUUCAGCUUUGCAGGCAUACAAGGCCUUUGCCUUCCGGAACGGCGUGCUGUGUGGAGAGGGGAGUUUAUUUAACAUUGUUUGCAACCACGAAAGCCACAGAUAGUUCACCGUUCUUCUUCCCUUUCUUUGCCAGCCACCUAGCCCUCUCUCCUGGGAAGAGCCUGGACAGGGUAGACAGAUGGCAAAACAGGAGAUGGGAAAGUCUUAAAGGCCACAGGAGAGAGCUGAGGAAGAGUCAGGAAAAGGCCAUGCUCUAAGAAGCCACAAUUCUCCAAAGUCACCUUGUGCCCCAGAGAAACUUUACCUGGGAACAGCUGGGCCUGGGAGGGGAGGGGAGAGCUUUCAGAGAGGGAGUGUUUGGGGUAGGAAGAGACCACAGGGCCCUGCAGAAUGUUCCCAACAGUUGCUCUGGGAAGUUGGCAAAACCCAAUGAACCCAAAGUCCAGCAGAGCCAGAUUUCAGCCCUCCCCCCAGAUGUUCUCCAUCACUGCUGGGGCAGCCUUCCAGAGCUGGAACUCUCCAGCCCCCAGGGCAAGCAAGGCUGGAGGAGGCGUGUGAAGCGGUGUGUGAGCACACAUGUGUACCAAGGUGAUUGACAACUGAUGGGAAGAUCCUCCCACAACUGUCCAAUGGUGCACAGAAAAUAGAGGGAUGCAGAAGGGGUGUGCUCAUUGCUGUUUGGGCCAUUUCUUUUCCUGCCCUUACAUGAGUCUAGGAUGACACAGCAGAUAGAAAAUGCCCAAAGGGAGGAAAGUCAUGCGCCUGCGUAUACGGAGAGCAUAGCUUUCUAAACGGUGAGAGUCCUCCCUGGUGGAGCCAGAAAAGGCAGUAUGCAAAAUUCCCAUCAAAAUCAAGAAUGUCCUGAUGCUUCUACCCUGUGCUACGGCUUGUUGGAGGCACAGACCAAGUCUGAGAGAUGGCCACGAGGGCCCCAAGCAGCAGAAGGCACCUGCAGGAUCUCUAUUUCACCCUUCCUGGAGGUGAGAGCUUCUUUUCUACAAAGAAGCUCAAGAGCAACCCCAUGGCACUUAGCCGCUGAUCUCUCCAAGACAGGCCUGAAACAUGGCCCUCUGGGAGAAGAGCAAGGUCAAGCCACCCACCCUCAAAAAAGAGGUGGUGCCUGUUCCCAUGAGCACUCUGAGUUCAUGACCUUCAGAGACAGAAGUGGGCUGGGAGGCCAAAAGAUUCCUGGAGUACAUGGGGUAGGGAGGCAGAAGCCCUGAGCGAUUUAAAGAGCAAGUGUGUCAUGUCUCAGUCUUUCCCUCUGUGCUAUAUUCCUCUCUUACUCAGUGGAUCUGGCCUGUGACUGGAUGUCAGGAACACCGGCCUGACCCACAAGCACACGCUGCCAAACAUUACCUGAUAACCAAGCGGUGAGGAAAGUGUGUAUGUGUGUCAGCAUUGCUCCUUAGGAUAUUAUCUUCAACCAAAACAUGGAGAGCCCAAUGACUCAGAAAAUAUUCAACACAUGAGUGCUAUUUUUGGAGAUCCCCAUUCCUCAAAUCCAAGCACCAGAGAUUAAUUCAGAAAUGUGGGUAAGGUUAGAAAGGGUAUUAAAGACACCAUGCAAGGCCAUGCAUAUUGUGCCUCUUGGCUUGGCUUCUUAGGAGGGAAUCACUGAGAGCAGAGGAGGCCCCCAGUGUCCCUGACCAGCUCUGCAUACGGGAACAGGUCAGUCACCAUCCGUGGUUUUACCUGGAGUCUUCACGAACCGCUUCUUCUGGCCUGUCAAAAAGCAAGUGCAGGUUUGGAUGGCAGGGAACAGAGUUGACGAGGAGGCUGAACACUGCGUGAAGAGAGGACCAAGCCAAUGAGAGAACAACAGCAGCAACAGAAAAUCAAACCAACCCUGCAACAGACCUGGCGGGGGAUGAGUCGCUGGACGUGGAUGAGGUGGGCAUAGGGCUGGAUGGCGCCGAGAACAUGGGCCAUGAUGGCGAGAGGGGUGAAGUUGGGCUUGGAUUCGGGGGGCUGCAAGACAUAACAAUCAGAAAACUCAUCAGCACACAGGGAAACCACAGUGGGAGCACAGGAGGUUCAUGGUGAGGUCAGAUGACAGGGUGCUGCAGCAGAGCACAGGAACACCAAAGUCCAGAGGCAUGCUGCCCAGUCUCCGUGCUCCAGGUCGGGCUUCUGCCCUGAUGUCUUGAUGCACAAGCAUGUCCUUCGCCCCAUCUCACAACUGCUUUCUUGGUGACCCGAGCUUCUCCAUUAUCUACUGUACCACUGGCCCUGGGGAACAUGCGCUGGAUACAUAAUGCGAAUCUGCAGCUCUGUGUUUUGCUGCCUGCUUUGUUACACACUGACUGCACUCUGAGCCAGCCUUUAGCCUUCACUGCUGCGUGCUUUAAAACUUACGUCUCAGCAGAAAUGAAUAUUUUUCUGGGCCACAAAGGCCAUUCAGCCAGAAAACAAUUUCCUGUUUACAUUUUUAACUACACGGGCCGUGUGCCAUUGGAGAUCCAAGUGUGCGUUAGGAACACGCUAGGGGACAGGGGCAGGAUGGACACACACCUUUCAGGGACAGCACUUAUGGCUGUGUGUAGCUCUCUGGGGGGUGCGCGGUCAGGUCUGUUCUUUCUCUUGCUGUGGAUUCUGAUGCUCCAAGAACAAUCUCAGUGAAAACACAGUUUUUAAAAAGGAGCCGAAACCUCACACUUGUCUAUUUUAUUCUCUGAUGGGCAGCUGACCAAAGGGUUGGAGAGGAAAGGUUGGAAUUACCACAGUCUGGCUGGUAGGUCUUAACUGGCCACGCGGCCCAUCUGGCUCGUUUCUGCAGAUUAUUCAAACACCCUAGCACCUAGGUGAAACGACAUUGUGUCAGUCAUAGGAAGUGCAAACAGACGGCUGAGACGAUGUGGAGGCCAGCUAGCCAUACGACCACCUCAGUUCCCGAAUCUGAGCUGGCUGCUGGACUGUACAAACAAAGUUCUUUAUGGGAGAGGGCAGCUGCAGGUGGGGAGUCGGCAAGAAUACAUGCAUGUCCUAUAUGAGGACAUACAGGAACGGUACUAGGGCCACACCAAUUCAGACAUGACACUGGUAUUGAGUGUGUGUGAGUGUGAGUGUGUGUGAGCUCGAGUAUAUGUGUGCAUAAGCAUAUACAAAAUAGAUACACGAAGACCUGUGGCAGCAUUCAGAGAACACCCUGUGCAAAGUUCAUAUCCUCCAACGAAUCUGAUUAAAUACUUAUUAAAUGUCA
Molecule: long non-coding RNA, 4498 nt
Organism: Arvicola amphibius (Eurasian water vole)
Lineage: Eukaryota; Metazoa; Chordata; Mammalia; Rodentia; Cricetidae
Exons: 4
Source: RefSeq, a predicted model, not a curated record